This is a long non-coding RNA of Gasterosteus aculeatus aculeatus (three-spined stickleback), 735 nucleotides long. Lineage: Eukaryota; Metazoa; Chordata; Actinopteri; Perciformes; Gasterosteidae. The record is from Ensembl.
GGCAAAAUUGACCCCAAGAAAUAUAAUUGUGCCCCGCAUGAACAUUCUUAAACUUUAUUCAUAUAAAGGAGCUUGAUCAGACCGAGGGCAGCAGAGCAGAUCCAGCCUCCGCCACCGUUUUCUGGUUCAGAAGAAAGUAAAAAAAGAGAAAAAUAGACCAUUGAAAGAUGGAAGACAUGUUAGCUCGGGCUGGAGAGACAACCACAGAACCACCUGCAUUUCUUGCAAGGCUGUCGAGGGACUCGAGCUCCUCAAACACGAACUGCCAACAUCUUUGUCCACCAGCACCGCGAAUUAUUGUGCUGACUUCAUCAAGGGAGCGUUAACGUUAAUAAAUACGCGUCCUUUCGUCACCAGGCGGCCGAAAGCAAGCUUGGAUACAAAGACAGCGUUCUGCAGAAUAGUCAAGCUGUUUGACAUUGCUGAACAUAUUGCUAAACACGAGAAACUACACAGAAAUAAAAAUAAAAUGGAAUGAGUCUGAUUUAUGUUUUCUGUUGGUUUUGGUUAAAAAAAGCUAAGAAAACACUGUAGACUCCUGCCUAAAAGGCUUAUUGCUGCCAUUUGAUGACAAAUGCAAAAAAUGCCACCAAUUUCUUAUAAAAUGUGCCUGGUUUUCGGUCAGUGGGGGCCUGAAUAAUAUGUAACGUCCCUGUGCCCCGACGCGGACAGCGAAAGCUAUUAUGUGCCGGACCCGGACGCUCCUAAUUUGAUGCUGUUUCCGGUCUUUUCUUU